Molecule: unclassified non-coding RNA, 370 nt
Filed under: Conyza sumatrensis
Lineage: Eukaryota; Viridiplantae; Streptophyta; Magnoliopsida; Asterales; Asteraceae
Description: partial ITS2
Source: RNAcentral
AAGUAUCGCAUUUUGCUACGUUCUUCAUCGAUGCGUGAGCCGAGAUAUCCGUUGCCGAGAGUCGUUUGUGAUUACAAAGAUGCCACGCCCCAUGAGCACACCGCGAACGGGACUUCAUGGGACAAGCAAUUCUUCAAUUUAAAGUUCCUUGGCACAUCCCGUGCCUUGGUUUUGUUACGUCAAAGCGACCACCAAGAUAACCCGUAAGGCCAACUAGGCAGGCACAUCAACGGUGUGCCAAGGACGAUCGAACUGAUGCUCGACGCAUCCUAGCAUGGUUGUUUUAACAUGUUCGCGGGUCGUUCUGCUUUGCAGGCUUCGACAAUGAUCCCUUCGCAGGUCACCUACGGAAACCCUGUUACGACUCUCU